UACGUAGGGGGCAAGCGUUGUCCGGAAUCAUUGGGCGUAAAGCGCGUGUAGGCGGCCCGGUAAGUCGGCUGUGAAAGUCCAGGGCUCAACCCUGGGAUGCCGGUCGAUACUGCCGGACUAGAGUUCGGAAGAGGCGAGUGGAAUUCCCGGUGUAGCGGUGAAAUGCGCAGAUAUCGGGAGGAACACCAAUGGCGAAGGCAGCUCGCUGGGACGUUACUGACGCUGAGACGCGAAAGCGUGGGGAGCAAACAGG
RNAcentral lists this ribosomal RNA (253 nucleotides) under uncultured bacterium. RNAcentral describes it as "partial 16S ribosomal RNA". It matches the Rfam family "Bacterial small subunit ribosomal RNA", at positions 524 to 776 of the family's 1533-position model. The record is from RNAcentral.